Molecule: ribosomal RNA, 333 nt
Filed under: uncultured bacterium
Lineage: Bacteria
Description: bacterial SSU rRNA
Rfam family: Bacterial small subunit ribosomal RNA
Source: RNAcentral
UCCGGACUUUUGUUCGGUGAGAGUGGCGGACGGGUGAGUAACGCGUGGGAUCCUGCCCAGUGGUGGGGGAUAUCUGCGGGAAACUGCAGGUAAUAUAGCAUGAGCCCGAGAGGGGAAAGAUUUUUCGCCAUUGGAGGGGCCUGCGUUCGAUUAGGUAGUUGGUGAGGUAAUGGCUCACCAAGCUCGACGAUCGAUAGCUGGUCUGAGAGGAUGAUCAGCCACACUGGGACUGAGAUUCGGCCCAGACUCAUACGGGAGGCAGCAGUGGGGAAUAUUGGACAAUGGGGGCAACCCUGAUCCAGCAAUUCCGCGUGAGUGAUGAAGGCCUUCGGG